GCCCGCCUAGCUCAAUCGGAUAGAGCGUCAGACUCUUACACUAGGCGGUGAUCUGAAGGCUGCGAGUUCGACCCUCGCGGUGGGCU
Rhodofomes roseus is the source of this 86-nucleotide non-coding RNA. The record is from the annotation of a RefSeq genome assembly. NCBI's taxonomy places the organism in Eukaryota, Fungi, Basidiomycota, Agaricomycetes, Polyporales, Fomitopsidaceae.